This is a long non-coding RNA of Anopheles merus, 2102 nucleotides long. RefSeq lists it as uncharacterized. The transcript is spliced from 3 exons. NCBI's taxonomy places the organism in Eukaryota, Metazoa, Arthropoda, Insecta, Diptera, Culicidae. The record is from RefSeq and is a predicted model, not a curated record.
AGCAAUGAAUCAAAAGUUAUUGCAGUUCGAAGUUGAAAAAAAUACCCGGGUAUCCGGUUGCCAACUUAAAGGUUAAGGUGUAAAGGGUGAUUAAUGCUAGUAACGUUGUGUAAUGUUAUGCAGAACAAAAUGCAGCAUAAAUGGCGAUGAGCCAGCAUUGUUCAAAGGUGCCGGAUGUUAUACGUUAGAGCCGUUCUUUGUGGUGUGAUGUGUUAACCACCUUGCUGCCAGUUAUUAGGAUUAGGAUUAAACCAGUAUUAGGAUUAGGAUAUAAUUAGGAUUUAAACCAGUGCCGUUGAAUAAAAUGGUGUACAACAGGUUAGAAAACAUUCGGUGUAUUUUGUUUUGUUUUUUUAAAGCUCUUUCGAUUACCUAUUACGGAAGCAAAUAUGUUUCACUAAUGUGCAAAAGGUAAGGAAUUAGUGAUCGCGUUGGUAGGUAAUUGCUCGUUUACGGUGUUUCUCCAUUUGUAUUUAUUGUUUCUCGCCCGCUGUGUUUGCUUCCCCAUUUCUCAUAAUGGUGCGUACGUUUCAUUAACAAUGUGCAUUAGAUGGUGAUGUUACAUGAUAAGUAAAUGUUGAGCGUGUUGGCGGGUUUAAAAAAAAUAUUUUACUUGUCCUGCUCCGUUGGUUGUCUGGUUGUCUGGCUGGCUGGCUGGCUGGCUGGUUGGAUGGCAGAAUGGCUCACUGGCUGGUUAGUGCAGACUAUGAUCGGAUGCGCAUUUCCCUACGCCGCAGUGCCGGGUGCAUCAUACGUCGGUGUUGGGUUGCUGUUACUGGGCCGAGCGGAUGCGCGUGCACACGUGGGAAUAAACGACACGCAACCGUGGUAUUUUAUAUUGCAUCGGUACGAUUAUCGUGUUCAAAGGCUUUUUCGAGAAAUGCCAAUACAUAAAUCGGUUAGUUCGUUUAUAUCGGUUUCUCAAACCCCUGCAAGCAAUGGUCCAUCAUUUCAGUCUUACACUUUUGACGAACGAAUGCCUGGUCGCUAGCUGCAGCUUCCCAUCGAUGUAGGCACACGAUCUUCGAGAUUUUACUUCACCUGAUCUAGCCAUCGCACUCGCUGUGCUUCCUCGCUUCUAGUACCGAACUGAGAGCCGCUCGAACACCUAGCUGCUGGGGCACGAGGCUGCCUUCUUCACAACAUGCUCCAGCCAUCGCAAACAGCCAUGUCCGGUGCGCCAUAUGGCUUCAGUAAGCUCGUGGAUAAUCAUUCGCAUCCACACCCCAUGCUCGAAUUCACCGCCAAAGAUGAUCCGGAGGAUGCGUCGGCCAUCGUGUUACGCCGCUGUCCUUUGCAUGCUGUAAAAAAACAUACCUAUUCAUCGUCGGCCAAUGGUGCAGCACGAACGCAACGUGAUACAUCGUGACAUCAUCCGGAAAACUUGCAGCUGGGGCACGGUGGUGAUCUGAAGAUAGCUGAUUUCGGUUGGUCCGUGUACGAGCCGACCUUGUUCCGGUACGACGCUGUGCGUUUCGCUCGACUAUUUAUCGCCCUAGAUGGUACAUGGUCAGCCGCACACAAAAACUGUCGAUCUCUGGAAUUUGGGCGUGCUGGCGUAAGGCCCCGUUUUUGGCGACCACGUAUGAAGAAUCGUACCGUAAAAUUAUGAAGCUGCAGUUUAAGAUGCCGCCAGAUGUAACGAAGCCGGCGGCCCAUCUGAUCUCGCGACUGUUCGUUAAGGAUCUGGCCAGCCGUAUGCCGCUGAAACAUGUUGCGUCCAUCCCUGGAUUCUGCUGCACGUGCACAAAAAGUAAAUAGGAAUUGCUGCUACCAUGUACCAUUUAUAGUUAUGUUCUCACUAAGUAUGUUUAUAAGAUACCUGUACCUUUUAGUUUUUUAAACCCUAUCUCUUAUAAGAAGUAGUGGUAUUUGAAUUGAAUAUGAACAAGGCAAGUGUAAUGAUAAGUAAUGAUAAUUGUUAUUUGUGUGUUCACUCAAAUGUUAUUAUACUUUCUUCAUGUUCAACAUCUGUUAUUAUUUCAAUUAUUAACAAUAAAAUAUGGCAAAAUAUUUUUUAAGCUAUAGAUCGUCUUUGUAUUGAAUGAGUGCAAUUGAUGGGUUUUGCAUUAUGAUGAUCAAUACCGUGACCAGCCUCUCGG